CAGACACCCCCAGAGGCUGCUGGGGGAGUGGGGGGCCCCUCCCGACCCCCUCUUGAUCCAGCUCUCUUGGCGGCUUUCAGGAAACCCACAGAAGUACGACCCGACUUUCAAAGGUCCCAUUUACAACAGCUUAAAUCUUUAAAAAUCUCAAUACCCAGUGCUGGUGAAGAUGUGGGGAAGUGGGCACUUGGCCUCAAAAGUGAGCUGAAUAUUGUUGCAGCCUCCCUGGAGGACCGUGUAGCAUUAGGUAUGAAAAUUUAAGAUGCAUGUACCUUCUGGAACAGGAUUUCCACCACCUGGGAACAUGUAUCCAAAUAACACAGGGAUGUGGGUAAUGGUGUGUGGGCACAGGGGUCCCACCUGAUGGCCCCCUCUGCUCCCCAGGGGCUGUACUGACAUCAUCUGCUGCGUGUUCCUCCUCCUGGCCAUUGUGGGCUACGUGGCCGUGGGUAUCAUAGGUGAGUGGGAAGUGCAGGGCUGGGGGCUCCAGGGGA
RNAcentral lists this long non-coding RNA (494 nucleotides) under Dasypus novemcinctus (nine-banded armadillo). Its description in RNAcentral is "lncRNA (ENSDNOG00000052597.1)". Lineage: Eukaryota; Metazoa; Chordata; Mammalia; Cingulata; Dasypodidae. The record is from RNAcentral.